CAACUGGAAAGGAAGGAGGGGGAUCUCAUGCGGCAGCCUGCUAAUAUCUGAAAGCAGCUUAGGAGUUCCUGAUAUUUACUCAUCAUUCAAGUUUAUUCUACAAACAUUUGUUUUUUAUUCUAUGGAACAACUGCAAACAAUUUGCUACAUGGAGCCAAAUGGUACAAUGAAUCUAAAAUACAAGUUAUAAUUUAGAAAGAGACAAACACUACUCAGUGUUCAGAUGCAUUCAUCUUCUUCAGCGGCCUCUCUCUUCAUUAGGCAUGACAGACGCAUUCUAAGGAGUGGGGAAAGUCACACAAAAGGAAGAAGUGUGCCAUCCUUCAACAUGUAAAUCACACAUGUUCAUUAACUUCAGGAGUGUCAUGUGAAGUACAGUCUGUCACCACCUAAGAGACUUCAAUGACCCUAACUACUAAAGACAAUUAGUCUUGCUUGCACUAUUGCACUACCCUUAGGUUCCCGGAACCAUGGUGAGCAACAGAGAAAAAACUUGAAAAACGGAGCAAGAAAGACCAUUCAUACGUGACAACUGAACAGGGCUUUACUUGCCUGAUGCCAAAGCAUUGAAAAGAUUUAUCAGGCUGGAUUCCCUCAUGUGGCCAAGAUGUGUUCAGCACAGGCCCAGAGUGUGUGUGUCUGUAAGUCUUUGUGAUUUUGCCCAGCAACUUAUACGUUUAAGGGUCCAUUCUAACAACCAGGGAUCGUUGGUGUGCAGCAACAUUCUGACCAUUCUCUCCUUUUCCUGGGCUAUGCCAGGAGCCAGGAGAAGGCUGGUAUAAAACCACUACAGCAGCUUUACGCCACCUUGGGAUUGUCCUUUCCCUCAGGAGGCUGGAUAAAUUGACCCCUUGGUGCUACAGGAAAAGUGCAAAAAUCUGUACCAGGACCAAGAUUAUGUCACAUCAUAUACAAAAGAGGCACCUUGAAGUGGAUGGGGCUUCAGGAAAAUGUCAUUCCUGCCUCUGACACUGAUGUAUUUUGUGACCUUGGUCAAGUCAUUUAACCUUCCACUAAAAAUAAGAACAAUUUUGCUUAUCCUACUUUGUAAAGUGUAUUUUGCAGCUAUGGAUGAAGCAUGUUAUAAAAAGUGCUAAGUAUUAUUAUCAUCAUUCAUUUAGUUUACCAGCACUUCAAUACUCCAGCUUCCUCUGAGACACAUGCUGCUACCUAACUAGUAUAUUAUUUAGGGUUUUUUUCCCCCCAAAGAAUGGUUUUUCUUUCUCUUCAAACUUUUCCCAAGAAAAAAUGUGAAAAACAAUAUUUCCAAGAAGAAUGGAGACUAAGGAACAAAUGAUGUACGGCAAGGUAAUUUGAAAGAUGUAGCUGGUCCUUUAUCUGCCAUAUUUUUCACAAA
Long non-coding RNA from Mauremys mutica (yellowpond turtle), 1357 nucleotides. RefSeq lists it as uncharacterized. Lineage: Eukaryota; Metazoa; Chordata; Testudines; Geoemydidae. The transcript is spliced from 3 exons. The record is from RefSeq and is a predicted model, not a curated record.